This 253-nucleotide ribosomal RNA is filed under the name uncultured bacterium. RNAcentral's name for it is "partial 16S ribosomal RNA". It matches the Rfam family "Bacterial small subunit ribosomal RNA", at positions 524 to 776 of the family's 1533-position model. The record is from RNAcentral.
UACGGAGGGUGCAAGCGUUAUCCGGAUUCACUGGGUUUAAAGGGUGCGUAGGUGGGUCUGUAAGUCAGUGGUGAAAUCUCGGAGCUUAACUCCGAAACUGCAUUCGAUACUGCCGUGCUUGAGGACUGGAGAGGAGACUGGAAUUUACGGUGUAGCGGUGAAAUGCGUAGAUAUCGUAAGGAAGACCAGUGGCGAAGGCGGGUCUCUGGACAGUUCCUGACGCUGAGGCACGAAGGCCAGGGGAGCAAACGGG